Proteiniphilum saccharofermentans is the source of this 186-nucleotide small RNA. It matches the Rfam family "Bacteroidales-1 6S-Bacteroidales RNA suggested". The record is from Rfam. NCBI's taxonomy places the organism in Bacteria, Pseudomonadati, Bacteroidota, Bacteroidia, Bacteroidales, Dysgonomonadaceae.
UGCCGCAUUGGUCGAUUGGGAAACUCAUCAAUUACAUUUUAUGAACCGAGACUCGUUUUUGGCAUCAAUGGCGGGCCGCAUCCUUCGGGAUUCCGGUUUUACCGGGACAGCGGAUUACAAAGAUACCGAGACACUCAAAUCCUGUCAUAAGGAGUUUCGUCUUAUUCCACCGGUGCGGCUUUUUAU